AACAACCUUAUGUUUAAUCACAUUAGGUUGAAAUUAAAGGAAACACCAGGGGCCCCCACAAGCCGUGGAGUAUGUUGUAUAAUUUGAAGCAACGCGUAGAACCUUGCCAGGUCUUGACAUCCAACGACCGCCUAAAAGAUUAGGUUUUCCUUCGGGUCGUUGAGACAGGUGGUGCAUGGUUGUCGUCAGCUCGUGUCGUGAGAUGUUGGGUUAAGUCCCGCAACGAGCGCAACCCUUAUUACUAGUUACUACGCAAGAGGACUCUAGUGAGACUGCCGUUGACAAAACGGAGGAAGGUGGGGAUGACGUCAAAUCAUCAUGCCCUUUAUGACCUGGGCUACACACGUACUACAAUGGCUAUUAACAGAGAGAAGCGAGACCGCAAGGUGGAGCAAACCUCAGAAAAAUAGUCUCAGUCCGGAUUGGGGGCUGCAACCCGCCCCCAUGAAGCCGGAAUUGCUAGUAAUCGCGGAUCAGCAUGCCGCGGUGAAUACGUUCCCGGGCCUUGUACACACCGCCCGUCACACCAUGAGAGCCGGGGGGACCCGAAGUCGGUAGUCUAACCGCAAGGAGGACGCCGCCGAAGGUAAAACUGGUGAUUGGGGUGAAGUCGUAACAAGGUAACCGUAAAGGGCGAAUUC
RNAcentral lists this ribosomal RNA (641 nucleotides) under uncultured Anaerofilum sp. RNAcentral's name for it is "bacterial SSU rRNA". It matches the Rfam family "Bacterial small subunit ribosomal RNA", at positions 867 to 1513 of the family's 1533-position model. The record is from RNAcentral. Lineage: Bacteria; Bacillati; Bacillota; Clostridia; Eubacteriales; Oscillospiraceae.